This 478-nucleotide ribosomal RNA is filed under the name uncultured bacterium. RNAcentral's name for it is "partial 16S ribosomal RNA". It matches the Rfam family "Bacterial small subunit ribosomal RNA", at positions 28 to 523 of the family's 1533-position model. The record is from RNAcentral.
GACGAACGCUGGCGGCGUGCUUAACACAUGCAAGUCGAACGGCAAGGCCCUUCGGGGUACACGAGUGGCGAACGGGUGAGUAACACGUGGGUGAUCUGCCCUGCACUUCGGGAUAAGCCUGGGAAACUGGGUCUAAUACCGGAUAGGACCACUGCCUGCAUGGGUGGUGGUGGAAAGCUUUUGCGGUGUGGGAUGGGCCCGCGGCCUAUCAGCUUGUUGGUGGGGUGAUGGCCUACCAAGGCGACGACGGGUAGCCGGCCUGAGAGGGUGACCGGCCACACUGGGACUGAGAUACAGCCCAGACUCCUACGGGAGGCAGCAGUGGGGAAUAUUGCACAAUGGGCGCAAGCCUGAUGCAGCGACGCCGCGUGAGGGAUGACGGCCUUCGGGUUGUAAACCUCUUUCAGCACCGACGAAGCGCAAGUGACGGUAGGUGCAGAAGAAGGACCGGCCAACUACGUGCCAGCCGCCGCGGUAA